UAGGGAAUCUUUGGCAAUGGACGAAAGUCUGACCGAGCAACGCCGCGUGAGUGAAGAAGGUUUUCGGAUCGUAAAACUCUGUUGUUAGAGAAGAACAAGGACGUUAGUAACUGAACGUCCCCUGACGGUAUCUAACCAGAAAGCCACGGCUAACUACGUGCCAGCAGCCGCGGUAAUACGUAGGUGGCAAGCGUUGUCCGGAUUUAUUGGGCGUAAAGCGAGCGCAGGCGGUUUCUUAAGUCUGAUGUGAAAGCCCCCGGCUCAACCGGGGAGGGUCAUUGGAAACUGGGGGACUUGGGUGCAGAAGGGGAGGGUGGAAUUCCAUGUGUAGCGGUGAAAUGCGUAGAUAUAUGGAGGAACACCAGUGGCGAAGGCGGCUCUCUGGUCUGUAGCUGACGCUGAGGCUCGAAGGCGUGGGGAGCAAACAGG
This 429-nucleotide ribosomal RNA is filed under the name Gemmatimonadota bacterium. RNAcentral's name for it is "Gemmatimonadetes bacterium partial 16S ribosomal RNA". It matches the Rfam family "Bacterial small subunit ribosomal RNA", at positions 355 to 776 of the family's 1533-position model. Lineage: Bacteria; Pseudomonadati; Gemmatimonadota. The record is from RNAcentral.